Cavia porcellus (domestic guinea pig) is the source of this 70-nucleotide transfer RNA. It matches the Rfam family "tRNA". From Rfam's summary of the family: Transfer RNA (tRNA) molecules are approximately 80 nucleotides in length. The record is from Rfam. Lineage: Eukaryota; Metazoa; Chordata; Mammalia; Rodentia; Caviidae.
GGAGAGUUAGCUCAGCGGCAUAAGCGCCUGCCUUGCAAGCAGGCAGUCACAAGUUCAAUCCUUGGUACCA